This 301-nucleotide ribosomal RNA is filed under the name uncultured bacterium. Its description in RNAcentral is "partial 16S ribosomal RNA". It matches the Rfam family "Bacterial small subunit ribosomal RNA", at positions 509 to 809 of the family's 1533-position model. The record is from RNAcentral.
CAGUCGCCACGGUAAUACGUAGGUGGCAAGCGUUGUCCGGAAUUAUUGGGCGUAAAGGGCUCGCAGGCGGUUUCUUAAGUCUGAUGCGAAAGCCCCCGGCUCAACCGGGGAGGGUCAUUGGAAACUGGGAAACUUGAGUGCAGAAGAGGAGAGUGGAAUUCCACGUGUAGCGGUGAAAUGCGUAGAGAUGUGGAGGAACACCAGUGGCGAAGGCGACUCCCUGGUCCGUAACUGACGCUGAGGAGCGAAAGCGUGGGGAGCGAACAGGAUUAGAUACCCGUGUAGUCCCUGUCUCUUAUAA